AGAGUUUGAUCCUGGCUCAGGACGAACGCUGGCGGCGUGCUUAACACAUGCAAGUCGAACGGAAAGGCCCUUCGGGGUACUCGAGUGGCGAACGGGUGAGUAACACGUGGGUGAUCUGCCCUGCACUCUGGGAUAAGCCUGGGAAACUGGGUCUAAUACCGGAUAGGACCGCAUGCUUCAUGGUGUGUGGUGCAAAGCUUUUGCGGUGUGGGAUGAGCCCGCGGCCUAUCAGCUUGUUGGUGGGGUAAUGGCCUACCAAGGCGACGACGGGUAGCCGGCCUGAGAGGGUGACCGGCCACACUGGGACUGAGAUACGGCCCAGACUCCUACGGUAGGCAGCAGUGGGGAAUAUUGCACAAUGGGCGCAAGCCUGAUGCAGCGACGCCGCGUGAGGGAUGACGGCCUUCGGGUUGUAAACCUCUUUCAGUAGGGACGAAGCGAAAGUGACGGUACCUACAGAAGAAGGACCGGCCAACUACGUGCCAGCAGCCGCGGUAAUACGUAGGGUCCGAGCGUUGUCCGGAAUUACUGGGCGUAAAGAGCUCGUAGGUGGUUUGUCGCGUUGUUCGUGAAAACUCACAGCUUAACUGUGGGCGUGCGGGCGAUACGGGCAGACUAGAGUACUGCAGGGGAGACUGGAAUUCCUGGUGUAGCGGUGGAAUGCGCAGAUAUCAGGAGGAACACCGGUGGCGAAGGCGGGUCUCUGGGCAGUAACUGACGCUGAGGAGCGAAAGCGUGGGGAGCGAACAGGAUUAGAUACCCUGGUAGUCCAA
RNAcentral lists this ribosomal RNA (773 nucleotides) under uncultured bacterium. Its description in RNAcentral is "bacterial SSU rRNA". It matches the Rfam family "Bacterial small subunit ribosomal RNA", at positions 8 to 798 of the family's 1533-position model. The record is from RNAcentral.